This 301-nucleotide ribosomal RNA is filed under the name uncultured bacterium. RNAcentral describes it as "partial 16S ribosomal RNA". It matches the Rfam family "Bacterial small subunit ribosomal RNA", at positions 509 to 807 of the family's 1533-position model. The record is from RNAcentral.
CAGCCGCCACGGGAAUACAGAGGGUGCGAGCGUUAAUCGGAUUUACUGGGCGUAAAGCGUGCGUAGGCGGCUUCUUAAGUCGGAUGUGAAAUCCCUGAGCUUAACUUAGGAAUUGCAUUCGAUACUGGGAAGCUAGAGUAUGGGAGAGGAUGGUAGAAUUCCAGGUGUAGCGGUGAAAUGCGUAGAGAUCUGGAGGAAUACCGAUGGCGAAGGCAGCCAUCUGGCCUAAUACUGACGCUGAGGUACGAAAGCAUGGGGAGCAAACAGGAUUAGAUACCCGUGUAGUCCCUGUCUCUUAUAC